This 497-nucleotide ribosomal RNA is filed under the name uncultured bacterium. RNAcentral's name for it is "partial 16S ribosomal RNA". It matches the Rfam family "Bacterial small subunit ribosomal RNA", at positions 28 to 507 of the family's 1533-position model. The record is from RNAcentral.
GAUGAACGCUGGCGGCGUGCCUAAUACAUGCAAGUCGAGCGAACAGACGAGGAGCUUGCUCCUCUGACGUUAGCGGCGGACGGGUGAUUAACACGUGGAUAACCUACCUAUAAGACUGGGAUAACUUCGGGAAACCGGAGCUAAUACCGGAUAAUAUAUUGAACCGCAUGGUUCAAUAGUGAAAGACGGUUUUGCUGUCACUUAUAGAUGGAUCCGCGCCGCAUUAGCUAGUUGGUAAGGUAACGGCUUAACAAGGCAACGAUGCGUAGCCGACCUGAGAGGGUGAUCGGACACACUGGAACUGAGACACGGUCCAGACUCCUACGGGGGGCAGCAGUAGGGAAUCUUCCGCGAUGGGCGAAAGCCUGACGGAGCAACGCCGCGUGAGUGAUGAAGGUCUUCGGAUCGUAAAACUAUGUUAUUAGGGAAGAACAAAUGUGUAAGUAACUAUGCACGUCUUGACGGUACCUAAUCAGAAAGCCACGGCUAACUACGUG